GCGGGUGUAGUAUAGUCUGGUAGUACACGGCCUUGCCAUGGCCGUUGCGCGUGUUCAAAUCACGCCACCCGCA
Molecule: transfer RNA, 73 nt
Filed under: Thermoplasmatales archaeon SW_10_69_26
Lineage: Archaea; Methanobacteriati; Thermoplasmatota; Thermoplasmata; Thermoplasmatales
Description: tRNA-Gly
Rfam family: tRNA
About the family: Transfer RNA (tRNA) molecules are approximately 80 nucleotides in length.
Source: RNAcentral